CACCCUUAGGUACACCCCAUUAUGUACCACUAGAUUAAUUCUAAAAAAAAAAACUUAAAUUUCAUAACAAAACUUCACGAGCUCCCGAACCCGAACCCAAAACCAAACCCUAUCUUCCAUUUCUCUCUCACGCCUACAAUACUCUAUGCACUCGAGCUACAUCGUUUCUUAUUUUCUCCUCAAAUCGUCGACAUCGACCGAGUUGAUCGUCGGUUGUUCGUGAGGAAACAUUUUUCGGUGGUGGUCUGUUUUUUGAAUCUCUUGUUUUCAAUAACCAUUAAUUUAUUUUAUUCUAUUUGUAUUUGUUUCUUUUGAUUGAUUAAUCAAUUUCAUGUUGAAGAAAAAGACGGAAAGAGGAAGAAAGGCGACAAGGAUCAAAACCUAAUGGGAGGCACGUGUUUUCUGGGCGACAAUUGAUUAAUCGAUUUCUUUUGAUUACUCUCAGAUUCGUUUGUAUAAUGUUUGCUGUAUUUAUGACCGGUUAUCUAAUUAGGUUAAUUUUUAUUCAGUCAUUUCUCUACGUCUUAAGAGUUGAGUUUGUAUUCCCCCAUUUUUUUUUUUUUUUUUGCAUCUUGUUCUGGGAUUCUUAGAUCAAUAUUAAUACAUUUUGUUGCAUAUCCUUUUCGAUUUUCUAAAAAAGUUGAAAAAAUGAAAUAGCAAAUUAAGCAUUGAUUUGGAACUAAGGCAAUAGAAAAGUGGAAAUUUGGGAUUUUCUUUGUUUGAGUAUAGCACGUGAUUAGUUUGUUUUAUAAGUUUUCAGGUAUUCUUUUAUCAGUUUCCAAUUCUUUGAUGCUUCAAUUUUGCAAUAAUUCAACUGGUUUUAAGUACUGCUAUGCAUUUCUAAUAAUUUAUACCAUGCAUCUGUUGAGUGUUGACAAUGUUAAGAACAAUAUUGUAUACUUGUAGCCUAAUAAUUGUCCGAAUAAAAUGCUGGCAAGUUGCUCUAAAAUAUGAUGAUUAAUUUAGAAAAAUCAUGUGAAGAUGUGAAAACUACAUAAAUUUAAUCAACUGGAGUUGUGGACAAAAUACUGCUUCAUUUUCCUUGAUAAUCUAUACAUAUAGAUAUAAGACCAAUUCCCAAUCAACUUUCUGAUAGAAACCUGCACUUGUGAGUGAUUCCUUGAUAAUCUUGUUUUCCUUUUAUGACCUUACCAUUUUCUUGCUUCUAGUAUAUUCCACUGGAUGCAUGGCCUUUCCGUUUCCCGCAGAUUAACUUUUUGUCUUCAUCGUGGAUGGUAAACAAAAGGCGAACUCCAUUUUAGCACAUUUCACUCACUUAGGACCGUUUUGUAUGUUUUAAUGCAUUUUACUCAUUUUGAUUCAUUUUCUUUUAGUUUUGUACAUUUCAUUUAUAUAAUCUUUUUCAUCUCUAUGUUUAGUGCAUUUCAUGCAUUUAGGAGAGUUUGGUGAGUUUAUUGCAUUUUGUAUAAUGUCAUAUUAAUCAUCAUACUAGUGCAUUUUGGUACAUUCUCGUAUUUUGGUUCAUUUUCUUGUAUUUUUGAACACGAAAUAUGUGUGAUCUAUUUCAUGUGUUUUGUUAUAUUUUGAGCAAUUACGGUCAUUUCGUGCAUUUCAAAAUAAUUCCUACGUUUUUCAAUUAUUUCGUUUGUUUGUUAUAUUUUUUGGAAUUUGGAUUGUUUAUGUGCAUUUUGUUACAUGCUUUCUGUUUAUUUUUUAUUUUCAGAUGUCCUCGUCAAUUUUGUUGCAUUUUAUCAAAUUCUGCACAAUUUAAAUUAUUUUCAUCAGUAUAUUCUUGCAUUUUGGACUAUUAAGUGCAUUUGGCACAUUUCACGCAUUUUUAUCCUUUCGUGUUUGUAUGCAUUUGACACAUUUCAAUAUAGUCAUGCAUUUAGCACAUUUCACGCACUAAAUUUGUUGAAAGUGUUGUUUUUAUUUGUUUUGAUUUAUAGAUGAGUAUGUCACACCGAUAUAACAUUUCGAAGGAAGAACGUGUUCCGACCCAUGCCUCACAGGUUAGCAACACAAAAUACAUAACAGUUGUCUUCAACAAAUUGAAUCUAUAACAAAAGCUUAUGUUGGAGGACAGUUGUAUAAGACAUGUUGCAAUGUUACCGGAUCUAAAACUAUCUGCUUAAUUAAUUCAUGAAAUGGUAAACAAAUCGGUGGUCUGCCAAAAGCGAUUUGAGGCUUGGUUCAAGGUGAACCAAAGGUUCGCACGAUUUGAACUGUUGGAGUUCGCAUUAAUCAUCGGUUUGAAGUGCUAUUGAGUGCCUAAAGAUACCAAAGUUGAAAAAAUCCUAGAGAAAACCUGUUUACAGGAUAGAAUGUUUGCUAAUAUGGACUGGGUAACUUGUAGCGACCUGGAGAAAGUUUUCUUGAAAUGACCCAACCAUAAUGAUCGUUACAAGCUUGGGUUGGCACUAAUUAUUGAAAAGGGUAUUUAAUUCAAGAGACGGAAAUAUAGGAAUACAUCCGACAACUCUCUCCAUCGUUGAUGACUUGGAUUUCUUCAAUGUCUACCCAUGACAGACAGUAUGUUUUCAACUUCUUAUCAAAUCACUGCUAUGGAGAUGGGAAAGAAAGGCGGACAUGACAAAAGUGAACGAUUGUGAUAGGAUGACUUACAUGUUGUACGAAUUUCCUCUCGUUGUCUAGGUAUACAAGUAUUUUGGUUCAUUCAGUUCUUUUCAUCGCAUAUUGUUAUGUACCUCCGAAUAUGGUUAUUACUGUUAUAAAUGUCAUGUAGAUUUGGGCGUACGAGUAAGACUUGUGACGAUGUUUCGAGGAUGUUGCGAUGGUCUAGAACAAAACAACCUCAUUCUUGAACAUAUUGAUAUGAUCCAAGAGUCGAGCCCGACGAAGGCGAGUGCGAGACGAGACCCGUUGAUAGUCGAUGGUGGACCAAUGACGCGAUCAAGGGCAAAGCAAGUGAAACAAGCAAUGGGAUUGCUCGUUCAAGAAACCAUUGAUGGAACCAUGUUCGGGACUUAAAAUGGAGUAACUUUCAUGUUCGGGUCAAGGGCCGAAUCAACUUGGAUCAAUUUGUUAUCAAGCGACGAAAUCGGAGGCUGAAAACAAGCCUGUGCGACCGCACAGCUAAAACACCAUGCGACCGCAUGGAGGCAUACCGAAACUUAAGAUGGGUUUUUGGUUGAACCAUGUGGUCGCACAGACCAAAAAUUUGGUGAAUUUUAUAAUUUUGGUAAUUUUUCAUAUUUUGUUAGUUUUUUAUUUUUUUUUUCCAUAUUUUGGGGAUUAUGAUCGACUUUUGCACGAUUUUUACCUAGUUUUUAGGUUUAGUAUAAAUAGGAGUUUCCAUUCAAAUGUUAAAAUUUUUUGACAUUAUUGAUAUUGAAUUAAAGUGAGGCGUAUUGUCUUCUUUUCAUUGUUCUUCAUUGAACAAUUUCGAACUUAUCAAGUGUUAACUUGUGGCGUUCAAAUAACCGGAUUUAAUUCUUGAAUUGCGUGAUCAAGGGGUCUUUCAAGCGUCGUUCUUGUUGGGUUUUUUGGUUCGACUUUCUUUUGGGGUUAAUCCUAAACUCUUGGAUUAAUUUGGCUUUCUUGGGUUCGUCAAUCUCGUUGUGGGUUUCGUAGUCAACGUUGCUACGGGGUUCGCAUCACAUAUUCAGAUUGUUUUGAGAAGACACAUGUGAGAGAUUUACAUACAUAAUUGCGUUACACUAUCGCAAUAUAUAAUAUUUCAUUUCGCCUAUUUUUCUUUCCCCUGUAGGUACACUUGUGGGUGAUGCUACGCCCAAUUGCUGCAGAAGAAUUGCAGCCGUACUUCGUCGACUAGUUCCAUUGGAAGACAUAGCUGACCCCCUUCUAGACAGUCUCGUUGCUUAAUCAAUAGAAAUACAAGCUUGUCCAGUUAAAAAUGAUGGUCAUACGGAACGAUGACAACAACUAUCGAUCAAAUAAAUCUCGGAGAGGCAACACAUGUAGAUUUCGUCAUCGAAAUUUGCAUCACGUUGAAGGUGGAGAAAAAGAGCAUGAGGAUCUGGUCAUCAAAAAGCCUGUGUCUUUAGAUGAGAUAAGGCUCUCUUGAACGAACAACGGGAGGCAUUUGAGAGCAGGAUGGGCGAUUUUAGGGAGGAGAUGAACAUAAGAUUUGCUAGUCUCCAAAAUGAUCUGGGAGGUCAUGUGUGCGAUUUGAGAAAUCAUGUCACUGAUGAGAUAAAUGUGCUCCGACGUAGGUUUGAUGAAGUUGUUACAGAAAUUGGGCAACAUAAUGUUGCUGACGAGUAUGGUGGAUUUGGUCAUGAUGAUUACGGUGGAGAUGUGCCCCGACGUGAUGUUUUAACUCCCAGUAUUUCUGCGGACAAACAGAAUGUCGGAGAGGCAACCGAAGAGGUUGUUUGCAAUAUCCCUGAUGUGUCCAUAACGUCGAGAGGUGGGGUUGGAGUUAUUGGGUCAGUUUACGUCGCUUGUUAUAUUGUGGAAGAGGCGCCAACCAUUGUACCUACAGUUGAUGCGUCUACUGCUGAUCCACCUACAUGCAGACCUCAAUCGUCGAAGUUGAAGAAGGCUAGUGCGAACACAAAGAAGCUGUUCACCUGAUUCGGUAGGAAGAGGGGUAAGAGGGAUGCGUAGUCUGUGUAUUUUAGUUUACGGUACAUAAUGGUGAUUGGAUAUGAACUUUAUGUUGAUUCGAAUUUAGUGGUUUGCAUAUUUUGAUUUAUAUGGUGGUAGGCAAUAUGUAUUGUGGUUUAUAUAGUGGUAUUUGGUCAUGUAUUUUGGUACGCAAUAUGAAAUAUCAAGCUUUAUGUUGAUUUGAAUUUAGUUGUUUACAUAUUUUGAUUUAUAUGAUGGUACGUAAUAUGAACUUGGGUUGAUUCAAAUUUAG
Molecule: long non-coding RNA, 4807 nt
Filed under: Olea europaea subsp. europaea
Lineage: Eukaryota; Viridiplantae; Streptophyta; Magnoliopsida; Lamiales; Oleaceae
Source: RNAcentral